CGGAGCACGCCGCGUGAGUGAUGAAGGGUUUCGGCUCGUAAAACUCUGUUAUUAGGGAAGAACAAACGUGUAAGUAACUGUGCACGUCUUGACGGUACCUAAUCAGAAAGCCACGGCUAACUACGUGCCAGCAGC
This 135-nucleotide ribosomal RNA is filed under the name uncultured Staphylococcus sp. Its description in RNAcentral is "partial 16S ribosomal RNA". It matches the Rfam family "Bacterial small subunit ribosomal RNA", at positions 387 to 515 of the family's 1533-position model. Lineage: Bacteria; Bacillati; Bacillota; Bacilli; Caryophanales; Staphylococcaceae. The record is from RNAcentral.